RNAcentral lists this non-coding RNA (30 nucleotides) under Mus musculus (house mouse). The record is from RNAcentral. Lineage: Eukaryota; Metazoa; Chordata; Mammalia; Rodentia; Muridae.
UAGAUGUCACAUGGUGAACAAGGCACUUUC